AUGAACGCUGGCGGCGUGCCUAAUACAUGCAAGUCGAGCGAACAGACGAGGAGCUUGCUCCUCUGACGUUAGCGGCGGACGGGUGAGUAACACGUGGAUAACCUACCUAUAAGACUGGGAUAACUUCGGGAAACCGGAGCUAAUACCGGAUAAUAUAUUGAACCGCAUGGUUCAAUAGUGAAAGACGGUUUUGCUGUCACUUAUAGAUGGAUCCGCGCCGCAUUAGCUAGUUGGUAAGGUAACGGCUUACCAAGGCAACGAUGCGUAGCCGACCUGAGAGGGUGACCGGCAACACUGGAACUGAGACACGGUCCAGACCCCAACGGGAGGCAGCAGUGGGGAAUCUUCCGCAAUGGGCGAAAGCCUGACGGAGCAACGCCGCGUGAGUGAUGAAGGUCUUCGGAUCGUAAAACUCUGUUAUUAGGGAAGAACAAAUGUGUAAGUAACUAUGCACGUCUUGACGGUACCUAAUCAGAAAGCCACGGCUAACUACGU
Molecule: ribosomal RNA, 495 nt
Filed under: uncultured bacterium
Lineage: Bacteria
Description: partial 16S ribosomal RNA
Rfam family: Bacterial small subunit ribosomal RNA
Source: RNAcentral